CUCUCUCUCUCUCUCUCUUCCCUUCUCCCCCCUGCGUUCUCUCUCCGAACGUCUAAACCCCCCACCGCCCCACACUCCUCCCCAUCCCCGAAACACGCACAAGAACACCCACCCAGGCAUUCACCCCGAUGCGGCUGCAAAGGCCGGCGACGACGCCGACGCCGACGCCGACGCCGACGCCGGCGAGGACAUCCCAAACGAUGCCGCACACGCCCUUGAUCCUUCACCCUCAGCCCUCGCUUCUCGACAGCCAGUGAUAAUCACUGGCGGCAGUCACCCUCUCCAACAGGUGCUUUCCUUCCCACUGAUCUCCGGAAAAGAGAGAAAUGGAAAAAGAACGUAAAAGGAAAAAGAAUUGAUCAAUCUAUGGGAAAAGUCUUAAGAGUCUCGAUCAGAGCGGCCAAUAGGGAAGUUUAGAUCCAUUCUCAAGAGUCUCAAUUGGGUGGGAGGUUUGGAGCAAUCAAGGUUCUUUGUUGGAAUAUCUUAAACUGCUCGUUCUAGUCUAGAAUUAACCUUGUGAGUUGUGACGGUAGAUAUAAUGCCCCCUCUGAAACCUCCACUUCCACGCAUGCUCAUAAACAAUGUCUCCUGCAUGCGUAAUGCUCAGACUGUCCUCCGCAAUAUUAAUGUCUCUGUGCAUGAUGGCUCUGCUCUUGUAUUGACUGGUGCUAAUGGCUCUGGGAAGACAACCUUCCUUCGCAUGCUAGCUGGAUUCUCCCGCCCUUCUGCUGGCGAGAUCUUUUGGGAUGGGCAUGACAUCACAUCUCCUGGAGUAUUCCAACAAUACAAGCUUCAACUUAACUGGCUGUCGUUAAAAGAUGCCAUAGUGGAUAAGCAAACUGUGUUAGACAAUGUUGAGUGGUUUGAAGUCUUGGAAGGGAAAUGCGGGAAAGCAAUGGGGGCUCUUGAGCUCAUGGGGUUAGGUAGGCUUGCAAAUGAGAAGGCAAGAAUGCUUUCUAUGGGGCAGAGGAAGCGGUUGCAGUUGGCUAGAUUGCUGGCCAUAGAUAGGCCCAUUUGGUUGCUUGAUGAGCCUUCAGUUGCAUUGGAUGAUGAAGGAGUCCGCCUGUUGGAGUAUAUAAUCGCAGAGCACCGGAAGAAAGGUGGAAUUGUUUUUGUGGCAACCCACCUACCAAUCCAGAUCGAGGAUGCUAUGUCUUUGAGGCUCCCGCAAAGGUUCCCAAGGAGGAAAACUUUAGUUGAUCUGGUCCGCUGAUUAUGUGCAGAAACUGAAAACAUCAAAAAGAAUAAAAAAAUUGUCGGUGUUGAUCAAUAGUUGAGGCUGGUUUCACGUCAGAAUGGAUCUCUUGAUGAGGAAGAAGAUUGGUGGGGACCAUGAAGGUGCUGAUGGCUUGUAUUACUUAGAUGUUCCAAGAUCAAGAGCUCUUUCAUCUGUGGUGAGGCAUUUUUGGCUUGGGCAUCCAUCUCUUCAAAAACUACAUCAAAUUGUUCCUCUUAGUCAGUCGUCGGUCUUGUUUAAUUGUGAGGCUUGUCAGCUUGGAAAAUACCAUAGGUCAAUGUUUCCAAGGAGGGUCCAUAAAACUAGUACAAGGUUAUUUGAGUUGGUUCACUCUGAUAUUUGGGAUCUUUCUAGAGUUAAGAGUCCUACUGGUCAUAGAUAUUUUGUGAUCUUUAUUGAUGAAUUUUCUUGUACCACCUGGGUGUUUCUGUUAAAGCAAUGAUCUGAGGUUUUGUCUGUCUUCAAAAAUUUUUAUAAGAAAAUAAAGAUGCAGUUUUCUAUUGAUAUUUGUUCUAUUUGCACAGACAAUGCUCUUGAGUUUGUCCAAUAGGAAUUAAAUGCAUUUUGUGCCUCAAAUGGGAUUCAACACCAAACUUCUUGUGCGUACACUCAACAAAAUGAGGUAGCUGAGUGCGAAAAUCGUCAUCUUCUUGAUAUUGCUCGCACCAUUCUUUUUCAUAUGCAUGUACCUAAAACAUAUUGGGGAGAUGCUGUUUUGACUGCUUGCUUUCUUAUUAACUAUAUGCCAUCUUCAAUACUCCAAAAUAAAACUUUCAUCCAAUUUCUAUAUCCACAUCGUCCAUUAUUUCCUUUGCCUUCUCAUACAUUUGGAUGUGUAGUUUUUGUCCAUGAUCUUCAAUCAGGCUUGGACAAACUAUCUCUCAGAGCCAUCAAAUGUGUUUUCUUUGGCUAUGCUAGAAAUCAGAAGGGGUACAGAUGCUUUGAUCCUGUGAGUCAUAAGGUAUUUGUCAGUGUUGAUGUCACAUUCUUUGAGGAGCAGCCUUAUUUUUCAUCUAUAUGAGAAUCUUUAAUGAGUUACUGGUUCCAUCAACAUCUAUCCCUGCUCCGGUGUUUCCUUCCACUUCAAAAGAGCCUGUAGUUAUGCUUGCUACUAUUUCUCCACCACCUCUGAAGGUGUAUACUCGACGUCCAUGGAAUCAGGUCCUAGCACUUUCACCACCACCUUCGCCCUUGGAAAGUGGUCCAAUAUCUUCACCGUCUGCAUUAGAUUUGCAUCUUUCCAUUGCCAUAUGGAAGGGAAUGUAGAGGAGGUACUAUCUCACCUUGGUUGGCGACAUGCAAUGCAAGAGAAAAUAUCUGCCUUAAAGAGCAGAGGCACUUGGGAGUGGGUCUCUCCACCAGCUGAUAAUGAGGUCGUUGGAUGUCGUUGGUUUUUCUCCAUCAAGUAUCUGCACGAUGGCACUAUUGAAAGGCUUAAGGCAUGAUUGGUUGUAUAAGGAUAUUCUCAGACAUAUGGUAUUGAUUAUUCUCUCCUGUGGUACGUCUCAGCUCCAUCCGAAUUUUAAUUUCUAUUGCUGUCAACAUGGAAUGGCCGCUAUAUUAACUUGAUGUGAAAAAUGCCUUCCUCUACAGCGAUCUUGAAGAGACGGUGUGUAUGGAGCAACCUUUGGGGUUUGUUGCUUAGGGAGAGAGUUCUAGAGUAUGUCGCCUGAGGAAAGCAAUAUAUGGGUUGAAGCAGACUCUGAGGGCUUGGUUUUAGAAGUUUAGUCAAAUUGUUUGUCAAUUUGGCUUUGUCAGAACUCGUGGACCAUUCGGUGUUUAUUAUGCACACCUCUAUUGGAGUGGUCAUCCUAGUUAUCUCCGUGGAUGACAUUAUUAUCUUAAGCAAUGACCAAGCUGGCAUAAAGGCAACUAAAAGGCACUUGAAACAACAUUUUGCGACCAAAGACUUGGGUCGGUUGAGGUACUUGGAAUAGAGGUGGCUCGAAAUCAUCAAGGACUUGUACUUUCUCAAAGAGUAUGCUCUUGAUCUACUACAAGAGACGGGCAUGCUUGAUGCUCGACUAGCAAAUGUUCCUCUGGACCAAACAGGAGCGCUCUGGAAAGAGGAUUCUAAAGAGCUAUCAGACAAGACUGCGUAUAGGAGAUUGGUUGGUGAGCUUAUUUACUUGAUAGUUAUCUGAUCUGAUAUUUUAUUUGCAGUUGUUGUCAGUUUAUGGACAAGCCUAAGAAGUACCAUUGGGAAGUUGCAUGUGGCAUUCUUAGGUACGUUAAAAAGGCUCCCGGACUUGGAAUGUUUUACAAAAAGAAUAACCAUACUAAUGUAGUUGGUUAUUUUGAUGUUGAUUAUGCUGGUUCAAAGAUAGACAGACGAUCAACUUCUGAUUAUUGUAUAUUUGUUGGAGAAAAUCCUGUGACUUGGGGGAGUAAGAAGCAAGAUGUAGUGGCUAAAUCUAGUGCAGAAACAGAGUAUCGAGCUAUGGCUCAUACUGCUUACGAGUUAAUCUGAGUGCAUUCCUUGAUAACGGAGUUUGGAUUUCAGCAUGAUAAAUCCAUUCCUAUGUAUUGUGAUAAUCAAGCAGUCAUUUUCAUUGCUAACAAUCCAGUAUUUCAUGAAUGGACAAAACACAUAGAGGUUGAUUGUCAUUUCAUCAAAAA
This is a non-coding RNA of Elaeis guineensis (African oil palm), 3856 nucleotides long. NCBI's taxonomy places the organism in Eukaryota, Viridiplantae, Streptophyta, Magnoliopsida, Arecales, Arecaceae. The record is from RefSeq and is a predicted model, not a curated record.